Molecule: ribosomal RNA, 497 nt
Filed under: uncultured bacterium
Lineage: Bacteria
Description: partial 16S ribosomal RNA
Rfam family: Bacterial small subunit ribosomal RNA
Source: RNAcentral
GAUGAACGCUGGCGGCGUGCCUAAUACAUGCAAGUCGAGCGAACAGACGAGGAGCUUGCUCCUCUGACGUUAGCGGCGGACGGGUGAGUAACACGUGGAUAACCUACCUAUAAGACUGGGAUAACUUCGGGAAACCGGAGCUAAUACCGGAUAAUAUAUUAAACCGCAUGGUUCAAUAGUGAAAGACGGUUUUGCUGUCACUUAUAGAUGGAUCCGCGCCGCAUUAGCUAGUUGGUAAGGUAACGGCUUACCAAGGCAACGAUGCGUAGCCGACCUGAGAGGGUGAUCGGCCACACUGGAACUGAGACACGGUCCAGACUCCUACGGGGGGCAGCAGUAGGGAAUCUUCCGCAAUGGGCGAAAGCCUGACGGAGCAACGCCGCGUGAGUGAUGAAGGUCUUCGGAUCGUAAAACUCUGUUAUUAGGGAAGAACAAAUGUGUAAGUAACUAUGCACGUCUUGACGGUACCUAAUCAGAAAGCCACGGCUAACUACGUG